GAAAUUCCAAUCGAACCCGGAGAUAGCUGGUUCUCCCCGAAAUAGCUUUAGGGCUAGCGUCGAGAGAAGAGUUGCGUGAAGGUAGAGCACUGAAUAUGUGAUGGCCCCAUCUCGGGGUACUGAGCAUAAUCAAACUGCGAAUGUCACGCCAACAUGCUCGGCAGUCAGACAGCGGGUGAUAAGGUCCGUUGUCAAGAGGGAAACAGCCCAGACCAUCAGCUAAGGUCCCAAAAUGUAUGCUAAGUGGAAAAGGAUGUGGAGAUGUACAGACAACUAGGAGGUUGGCUCAGAAGCAGCCAUCCUUUAAAGAGUGCGUAACAGCUCACUAGUCGAAUGACUCUGCGCCGAUAAUUUACCGGGGCUAAGCAUACUACCGAAGCUAUGGAUCCCAAGGGAUGGUAGGGGAGCGUUCCAUGAACGGAGAAGUACGACCGAAAGGACGUGUGGAGAUCAUGGAAGAGAGAAUGCCGGUGUGAGUAGCGGAACGUGGGUGAGAAUCCCACGCACCGAAAACCCAAGGUUUCCAGAGGAAGGUUCGUCCGCUCUGGGUAAGUCGGGACCUAAGGCGAGGCCGAAAGGCGUAGUCGAUGGACAACAGGUAGAGAUUCCUGUACCCGUAUAUAUGUGAAGGAAUGACGGAGAGAGGAAGCUGCAGCCAGCGGCUGGAAGAGCUGGUGCAAGCGAGAUAUCGGGAUGGCAGGCAAAUCCACCAUCCGAAACGAGAAGGCGUGAAGCGUACGGAAAGCUACGGCGAGUACGGAAGGCAGUGGAGGAACUUCCAAGAAAAGUUUCUAACGUUAAGUAUAUAUGGCCCGUACCGAAAAUGGACACACAUGGGUGAGGAGAGAAUCCUAAGGUGAGCGAGAGAACUAUAGCUAAGGAACUCUGCAAAAUGACUCCGUAACUUAGGGAGAAGGAGUGCUCAUAGAGAUAUGAGCCGCAGUGAAACGGCCCAAGCGACUGUUUACCAAAAACACAGCUCUCUGCUAAGCCGCAAGGCGAAGUAUAGGGGGUGACGCCUGCCCGGUGCUGGAAGGUUAAGGGGAGGGGUUAACGCAAGUGAAGCCCUGAACUGAAGCCCCAGUAAACGGCGGCCGUAACUAUAACGGUCCUAAGGUAGCGAAAUUCCUUGUCAGGUAAGUUCUGACCCGCACGAAAGGCGUAACGAUUUGGGCGCUGUCUCAGCUGUAGACUCGGUGAAGUCUUAGUACCUGUGAAGAUGCAGGUUACCCGCGACUAGACGGAAAGACCCCAUGGAGCUUCACUGCAGGUUGAUAUUGGGAUUUGAUGCAGCAUGUACAGGAUAGGUAGGAGGCAAAGAGAUGGAUACGCCAGUAUUCAAGGAGCCGCUGUUGGGAUACUACCCCUGUUGUAUUGGAUUUCUAACCGGACGACGUAGAGCCGUUGACGGGACAGUGUCAGUCGGGCAGUUUGACUGGGGCGGUCGCCUCCCAAAGAGUAACGGAGGCGCCCAAAGAUACCCUCAGCUUGGAUGGAAACCAAGCGCAGAGUGCAAAGGCAAAAGGGUGUUUGACUGCGAGACCCACAAGUCGAGCAGGGACGAAAGUCGGGCUUAGUGAUCCGGCGGUGCUGAAUGGAAAGGCCGUCGCUCAACGGAUAAAAGCUACCCUGGGGAUAACAGGCUGAUCUCCCCCAA
This 1657-nucleotide ribosomal RNA is filed under the name metagenome. RNAcentral describes it as "bacterial LSU rRNA". It matches the Rfam family "Bacterial large subunit ribosomal RNA", at positions 823 to 2495 of the family's 2925-position model. The record is from RNAcentral.